UACAUGUGGGGCAAGCGUUGUUCGGAAUUACUGGGCAUAAAGGGUGCGUAGGCGGCUUGUUAAGUCAGGGGUGAAAGUUUUCGGCCCAACCGGAAAAUUGCCUUUGAUACUGGCGAGCUUGAGUGCGUGAGGGAUGGGGGGAACGAGCAGUGUAGCGGUGAAAUGCGUAGAUAUUGGAAAGAACACCGAUGGCGAAGGCACUCUACUGGGCUAUUACUGACACUCAGAGACGAAAGCUAGGGGAGCAAAUGGG
Molecule: ribosomal RNA, 253 nt
Filed under: uncultured bacterium
Lineage: Bacteria
Description: partial 16S ribosomal RNA
Rfam family: Bacterial small subunit ribosomal RNA
Source: RNAcentral